RNAcentral lists this unclassified non-coding RNA (266 nucleotides) under plant metagenome. RNAcentral's name for it is "partial contains small subunit ribosomal RNA, internal transcribed spacer 1, and 5.8S ribosomal RNA". The stretch from base 1 to 54 matches the Rfam family "Eukaryotic small subunit ribosomal RNA", at positions 1778 to 1831 of the family's 1831-position model. The record is from RNAcentral.
GGAAGUAAAAGUCGUAACAAGAUCUCCGUUGGUGGACCAGCGGAGGGAUCAUUACCGAGUUUACAACUCCCAAACCCAAUGUGAACCAUACCAAACUGUUGCCUCGGCGGGGUCACGCCCCGGGUGCGUCGCAGCCCCGGAACCAGGCGCCCGCCGGAGGGACCAACCAAACUCUUUCUGUAGUCCCCUCGCGGACGUUAUUUUUACAGCUCUGAGCAAAAAUUCAAAAUGAAUCAAAACUUUCAACAACGGAUCUCUUGGUUCUG